RNAcentral lists this ribosomal RNA (888 nucleotides) under Triticum aestivum (bread wheat). RNAcentral describes it as "partial small subunit ribosomal RNA". The record is from RNAcentral. Lineage: Eukaryota; Viridiplantae; Streptophyta; Magnoliopsida; Poales; Poaceae.
AAGGACGAAGAGAUUAAGCAUAGAUGGCGGGAGUACUUCGACAAGCUGUUCAAUGGGGAGAAUGAGAGUUCUACCAUUGAACUGAAUGACUCCUUUGAUGAGACCAGCAUGCGUUUUGUGCGGCGCAUCCAGGAGUCUGAGGUGAAGGAGGCUUUAAAAAGGAUGAAAGGAGGCAAGGCGAUGGGCCCUGAUUGUAUCCCCAUUGAGGUGUGGAAAGGUCUCGGGGACAUAGCGAUAGUAUGGCUAACCAAGCUUUUCAACCUCAUUUUUCGGGCAAACAAGAUGCCAGAAGAAUGGAGACAGAGUAUAUUAGUACCAAUCUUCAAGAACAAGGGGGAUGUUCAGAGUUGUACUAAUUACCGUGGAAUUAAGCUGAUGAGCCAUACAAUGAAGCUAUGGGAGAGAGUCAUUGAGCACCGCUUAAGAAGAAUGACAAGCGUGACCAAAAAUCAGUUUGGUUUCAUGCCUGGGAGGUCGACCAUGGAAGCCAUUUUCUUGGUACGACAACUUAUGGAGAGAUAUAGGGAGCAUAAGAAGGACUUGCAUAUGGUGUUCAUUGACUUGGAGAAGGCCUAUGAUAAGAUACCGCGGAAUGUCAUGUGGUGGGCCUUGGAGAAACACAAAGUCCCAGCAAAGUACAUUAUCCUCAUCAAGGACAUGUACAAUAAUGUUGUGACAAGUGUUCGAACAAGUCAUGCCGACACCGAUGACUUCCCGAUUAAGAUAGGACUGCAUCAGGGGUCAGCUUUGAGCCCUUAUCUUUUUGCAUUGGUGAUGGAUGAGGUCACAAGGGGUAUACAAGGAGAUAUCCCAUGGUGUAUGCUCUUUGCGGAUGAUGUGGUGCUAGUUGACGAUAGUCGGACGGGGGUAAAUAGGAAGUUAGAGUUA